This 514-nucleotide ribosomal RNA is filed under the name uncultured bacterium. Its description in RNAcentral is "partial 16S ribosomal RNA". It matches the Rfam family "Bacterial small subunit ribosomal RNA", at positions 28 to 523 of the family's 1533-position model. The record is from RNAcentral.
GAUGGACGCUGGCGGCGUGCCUAAUACAUGCAAGUCGAGCGAACAGAUGAGAAGCUUGCUUCUCUGAUGUUAGCGGCGGACGGGUGAGUAACACGUGGGUAACCUACCUAUAAGACUGGGAUAACUCCGGGAAACCGGGGCUAAUACCGGAUAAUAUUUUGAACCGCCUGGUUCAAUAGUGAAAGACGGUUUCGGCUGUCACUUAUAGAUUGACCCGCGCCGUAUUAGCUAGUUGGUAAGGUAACGGCUUACCAAGGCGACGAUACGUAGCCGACCUGAGAGGGUGAUCGGCCACACUGGAACUGAGACACGGUCCAGACUCCUACGGGAGGCAGCAGUAGGGAAUCUUCCGCAAUGGGCGAAAGCCUGACGGAGCAACGCCGCGUGAGUGAUGAAGGUCUUCGGAUCGUAAAACUCUGUUGUUAGGGAAGAACAAAUUUGUUAGUAACUGAACAAGUCUUGACGGUACCUAACCAGAAAGCCACGGCUAACUACGUGCCAGCAGCCGCGGUAA